RNAcentral lists this long non-coding RNA (469 nucleotides) under Brassica rapa (field mustard). RNAcentral describes it as "long non-coding RNA (BRAP_LNC000102)". Lineage: Eukaryota; Viridiplantae; Streptophyta; Magnoliopsida; Brassicales; Brassicaceae. The record is from RNAcentral.
AGAACCGUUGAUAUCCAAUCUGAAACCAAACGAAAUUUUAUAAAGUAUAUGUUGGAUAUUGAAUUCAUUUGUUCGGUAGAUCUGGAGCGAACAUAUCCUGCCUGAACCUGACCUAAAUCCCCCAAAAAUCCAAAACUUAUUUAUACACCUAUUAGAUCAUUUAUGAGUUUUAGACACUACACCAAUUUGGUUUGUUUAUUUACAAGAAUCAAAUGAUGUUGCACCGAGUAAAAGAUCAGAACCUGUCUCGUGACUAAUUCAUAUCAUUAAUAAUAAUAAAAAGCUGCUAAAAUCAAUAAUCUACUGACACUAGAUUUUAAAAAUUUUAAAUACAAAAUCCCUUCAAUAAUCUACUGAUAAGAAAAAAAAUGAAAAAAACAGUAAGAGAAAAUAAAAAUAAAAAGCAUACGCAAAAUGAAAGAAGAGUGUCGACCACCAACACUCAAGUCUCAAGGAACAUCACACUAUG